GCGCUGGGCGCUUCCAGUUCCGGCGCUGGGAGGAGCUCAGCCGCUGGCGCAGUGGACGCUGCUGCAGGCAGUGGGCUGCUCCCGGUGUCUCCGGCUCCAUCCUCUCGGAAGCGCCGCCGCCGCCUGCGGACCCUGCCGCGAGCUCGGCUUUCGUCCGAUUGGCUCAACUCUUACACCAACUGUCUCUAUUCCUCUUCUACACUGCAAAGAACACUUUCCAGGAGUUUCCAGAACCUAGUUUGACAAAAGAAGGAUAAGACAUCAGUUUGAGAAGAGCCCUUAUCAGAGCAACAUGAAUUCAGCUAAGAUUGAAGCAAGAACAAACAUCAAAUUUAUGAUGAAGCUUGGGUGGAAGAAUGGUGAAAUCAUUGAUGCUUUACGAAAAGUUUAUGGGGACAGUGCACCAAAGAAGUCAGCAGUUUACAAAUGGAUAACUCGUUUUAAGGAGGGUCGAGAGGAUGUCGAAGAUGAAGCUCGCAGUGGCAGGCCAUCUACAUCAAUUUGCGAGGAAAAGAUUAAUCUUGUCCGUGCCCUCAUUGAAGAGGACCGACCAUUAACAGCAAAAGCAAUUGCCAACACCAUAGACAUCUCGAUUGGUUCAGCUUACAAGAUUCUGACUGAAAAGUUAAAGUUGAGCAAGCUGUCUGCUCGAUGGGUCCCGAGAUUGUUGGGCCCAGAUCAGCUGCACACAAGAGCGGAGCUUGCAAAGGAAAUUUUAAAUGAGUGGGAUCAAGAUCCUGAAGCAUUUCUUAGAAGAAUUGUAACAGGAGAUGAAACGGCUUUACCCGUGCUGUCCUGAAGACAAAGCACAAUCAGAGCAAUGGCUACCAAGAGGUGGAAGUGGUCCAGUCAAGAAAAAAGGUCAAAAGGUCAUAGCAACCUUUUUUUUUUUUUUUUUUUUUUUUGAAUACUCAGUGCAUUUUACUUGUUGACUUUGAGGGCCAAAUAAUGAUAUUUGUGAGUUGUGAGAGUAUUUUGAAACUAUUACUCAAAGCUUUAGUGGAAAAUUGGCCAGGAAAGCCACAUCAGAGAGCCCUUCUGCACCAUAACAGUGCUCCUGCUUAUUCCUCUGACCAAACAUGCAGCUUUGCUAGUCUGGAUUUGAUUCCUUUGACUUCUGUUUGUUUCCUAAUGUUAGUAAGGCUUAAAAAGCCCAUUUUUUCUUCACUUAAAAAUGUAAAAACAGACUGUAUUCACAUAGUUAAAUGCCUAGUAUCCUCAGUUCUUUAGGAAUUGUCUAGAUGACUGCUAUUAUCCCUUGCAGCUGUAUCUUGAUGUUGAUGGAGCUUAUGUUGAAAAAUAAAGCUUAUAUAUUUUA
This is a long non-coding RNA of Oryctolagus cuniculus (rabbit), 1318 nucleotides long. RefSeq lists it as uncharacterized. Lineage: Eukaryota; Metazoa; Chordata; Mammalia; Lagomorpha; Leporidae. The record is from RefSeq and is a predicted model, not a curated record.